GUCUGCAGCUCUGAAAGGCUCCAAGGUGAUGCUGCUGCCUCUUAACACCACACCCAGUCAUGCACAGGCCCCCGAAACCUGUACACAGUGCUGCCCCCUGCUCCAGCAUGCCAAAGUUCAAGACUCCCAGAGCCACAAGUCACUUGUUAAUUAAUGGCACUAAUUAGCAGGGAAGAAGCUGGACAUCUGGACCCUCUCAUGGAUAUCAUAGAGCACAAUGCCACAGACCCAGAUGG
Molecule: long non-coding RNA, 236 nt
Organism: Talpa occidentalis (Iberian mole)
Lineage: Eukaryota; Metazoa; Chordata; Mammalia; Eulipotyphla; Talpidae
Exons: 3
Source: RefSeq, a predicted model, not a curated record